RNAcentral lists this ribosomal RNA (253 nucleotides) under uncultured bacterium. RNAcentral's name for it is "partial 16S ribosomal RNA". It matches the Rfam family "Bacterial small subunit ribosomal RNA", at positions 524 to 776 of the family's 1533-position model. The record is from RNAcentral.
UACGUAGGUGGCAAGCGUUGUCCGGAUUUAUUGGGUUUAAAGGGUGCGUAGGCGGCUUUAUAAGUCAGUGCUGAAAUAUCCCGGCUUAACCGGGAGGGUGGCAUUGAUACUGUAGGGCUUGAGUAAAGUUGAGGUUGGCGGAAUUGACGGUGUAGCGGUGAAAUGCUUAGAUAUCGUCAAGAACACCGAUUGCGAAGGCAGCUAACUAAGCUUUAACUGACGCUGAGGCACGAAAGUGUGGGGAUCAAACAGG